RNAcentral lists this ribosomal RNA (351 nucleotides) under Triticum aestivum (bread wheat). RNAcentral's name for it is "partial small subunit ribosomal RNA". The record is from RNAcentral. Lineage: Eukaryota; Viridiplantae; Streptophyta; Magnoliopsida; Poales; Poaceae.
AUGUGCGAACAUGGAGAGAGGAAGAUCGAUGAGACCUUGAAGAAUCAUGUGGUUGACAUUUCAACUUCGGAUAGAAGGUUUUCCGCAUUAUGUUGGUUGGCUUUCAUUAAGAUCAAUGAGUCAUCCGCAAAGAGAAGAUUUGUGACCGGUGGGGCGUCUCUACAGACUUUUACUCCUGAUAUGUUUCCAUUCUUCUCAGCAUGCACAAGCAAGGCAUUCAAUUCUUAUGUGCACAGCAAAAAAAGGAAUCAUCACGAUCGCCGUAUCAUUCCAACCCUCCGGUAUAGUGCAUGUGUUGAUUGCUGUCAGAACAUCCUCCCAGCAUGGGCCAAAACCUUUUAUAGAAGAUAG